Phascolarctos cinereus (koala) is the source of this 2098-nucleotide long non-coding RNA. NCBI's taxonomy places the organism in Eukaryota, Metazoa, Chordata, Mammalia, Diprotodontia, Phascolarctidae. The record is from Ensembl.
CCCCGACUUAGGUGUUUUUGUCAUUUACAUGUGACAAAUGAAACUCAGAACCAAUUCUCAAUAGAUGUCGAGGUUCUUGUUUUUGCUCACUAGGGGGAUGUGACAUUUCUUUUCUAUUACAGGAAGUUAAGUGACUAUCGGGCCAACAAGACAUAGGAAACAGGAAAUGGUUGAGAGUCCUGGAAUUCCCCUGGCUGACUGGUUACUACUCCAGGCCUAACAGGAACAAGUUUGUGUCCUUCAGCAAGUUCCCCUAAAAAGAAGGGCUUGUUUUCGUCCUCAAAAAGAUGAACUAGGAAUUGGACGAAUGAAUUAAGUGCGAGCGUUAACGUUACAUAAGCCGAAAAAGAAGACUCAAGCAUAAGUCUUUUUUCAGAAGGGCGGAGGACGUCUUCGGGGCACCCCGCGCAUGCGCAGGUAUCGGAAGACGCAGGCCCUCACCUGCCCUACGGCGGCUCUUGUUAAUCGUUCAAAAACGACUCGUGCCCAUUUUGGUCUGUUUACGCUUGGCCAGGAUUUGCUUUGGUGAAAAAAAACGCGGAGCGAAGCGCUGUUUAGGUGAUCCCACAUAAUCGAGGGUGGUGGUGGAGAACUCACAACAAAAAACGUGUGGGUUUUAUUUACUCUCACAGCCUAGCCUUUGACCCAGCUUAAGCCAAUUGCCGGCGGCUUCUUUCGCACCGCGACGCCUGGCAUUUCAUCCCCAUCGAGUUCGUUGCUCUGCAACUCAGUCCACUCACACAACGCCUCCGCCCCCGCCCCCUGGGUGGCGGUUGGCGCAGCUGCUUCUCAUUCUACUCCAGGCAGGAGGGGGUGUGAUGACGUCAGCGCGACGUCAGCCUCCGCCAGGAGAGGGCCGGGGGCGCCUGUCUGUGAGAGGGGUGCGGGUCUAACGACUGCCCCUGGCCCUAGGCCCCCGACAGCCUCAGCUUUCCAGGACAGACGGGCCGAGGCCCGUGAGAGGCCGCCUAGGAAGCCGGACCUGCGUCCCUUUCUCCCUUUGCCAGCCACGCCCCCCGGGGACUGCGAUCUUACAUCAAAGAAGAUUCUGUUUUGUAGACAUUUUCAUUUUCUUCUUCAGAGCAAUAAAUUCCAGUAUGGAGACCUAGAAUUCUUAAAGGGACAUAGUCUAAACCCUGGGAGGUAGUUUUGUGCUUGACUAUAGAUAUUAAAUAAUGAUGAUUUAAAAGUACCUUUUCAGAGUUAAUGAUGCAUUAACAUCUGUACAAUAAUUUUUUGAUAGGGCAACAAUUUUUAAGCAUAUAGAAAAAAACUGUGAGGUUUUUCUGUAGCUGUUUGUGACGUAGCAUAUCCUUAGGUAAAAAUGGUAGCACUCUAUAUAUGUGGUCCCCAGAUAACAUGCUGUAAUUUAAUUUUUUAAAUGCAAAGAAAAGCUUCUGUUAUAGAAAUUAAAUAGCUUUUUGAAGUUUGUAGGAAAAGUGUAACAUCCAGUGGUCCUAAAUUGUAGAAAAUUUGAGUACCAGUUAUAGUGAAGUAGAAGACUGAAAAAUAUUGAAAAAACGUUGAAUGAAUCAGCAACAUUUUACUUCAAAACAGAAGAAUCAGUACUUGUGUGCAGUUUAGCAAGUGACAAGAUAUAGAAGGCAAGUGAAAUUUGGUCACGUGAAACCAUAUCUAUCUUUAUUUAGUGUACAAAUUUUUGUGUGUGUAUUGGACUUUGAAAGUGAAGUUAAAGGAUACUAGACUGUAAAGCAUUCCAUUAACUUUUAAAGCAUGGCCUCAAUUUAGCAAUAUAAUUUAAAAUAUUUCUAACACUAUAAAGUUGAUUUCAAGUGUUUAAGAUAUUUUUGGUUCUUUGUAAAAUGGCUUUAGGAAAAUAAGUGUUAAAUAGGAUCUAAAACAAUUUUUUUUCUCUUUAAUACAGUAUAUAUUUUUAAUGAUCAGGUUUUACAGCUUCCUACAAAAAGCAAAGAUAGGUAAUUUGAGUUUUAUCCAACUUAAGGUUUUUGAAAUAUAGAAAAUAUAUAUGUAUAUGAACACAAAUGUGCAUUUAAGGUAUGUAUCUUUAAAAGUACAUCAAGUUUCAGUCCAUUGAGGUAGCAUUGUAAUAAACGAGGGACAUGAUGAUAAAAUAGCA